This 357-nucleotide ribosomal RNA is filed under the name uncultured Syntrophus sp. RNAcentral's name for it is "bacterial SSU rRNA". It matches the Rfam family "Bacterial small subunit ribosomal RNA", at positions 1025 to 1374 of the family's 1533-position model. Lineage: Bacteria; Pseudomonadati; Thermodesulfobacteriota; Syntrophia; Syntrophales; Syntrophaceae. The record is from RNAcentral.
AAUUCGGAGACAGGUGCUGCAUGGCUGUCGUCAGCUCGUGUCGUGAGAUGUUGGGUUAAGUCCCGCAACGAGCGCAACCCUUGCUUUAAUUGCCAUCAUUCAUUGGGCACUUUAAGAGACUGCCGGUGUCAAACCGGAGGAAAGGUGGGGGAUGACGUCAAGUCCUCAUGGCCUUUAUGCCCAGGGCUACACACGUGCUACAAUGGGCGGUACAAAGAGCAGCUAACUCGCGAGAGUAUGCAAAUACUCAAAAAACCGUCCUCAGUUCGGAUUGGAGUCUGCAACUCGACUCCAUGAAGUCGGAAUCGCUAGUAAUCGUGGAUCAGAAUGCCCACGGUCCGAAUACGUUCCGGCCUU